Xenopus laevis (African clawed frog) is the source of this 5753-nucleotide RNA transcript. RefSeq lists it as uncharacterized. NCBI's taxonomy places the organism in Eukaryota, Metazoa, Chordata, Amphibia, Anura, Pipidae. The transcript is spliced from 3 exons. The record is from RefSeq and is a predicted model, not a curated record.
ACAAAUGUGAUGUGUGUGUCUAUGACUGACUAAUUGAUAGCCAGAAUAGAAAGGACUGGGGUCAAUACAAUGAAGCAUAGGCAAUAGAUAUAAUGAUUAAGGCUCCUGUAGGUUACUAAAAGGCAAAAGAACAAUUCAUAUAAACAUGUUGUUGCAAGCGUGAAUCAUAGUCAUGAGACUGAUAUUUGCUGCCAAAUUCAAUAGUUCCUGUAGGUUACUAAAAGUCAGACUCGCCUGAUGUUGUUGUGCAACAUCAGGCCCAAUCAGUAAUUGCCUUGUGGGAUCAACCCCACGAAUGAAGUAUAAGGCUUGAGAUUUUCUCAUAAUAUCUAGGGACUUUGCCACUGCUGACGAGCUGUGUGAUGUUGUUAUGGUUUGCUGCCUCCAAAAUGCCGCGUCCCCCGGUUGGAGUGAUGAUAUAAUAUCUAGGUAACGUAUUAAUUCAUUAACCCUGUAUAUAUUAACUCUUUUCACUGAUAAGUGUAAGUAAUAAAAAGUGUUGCAUGACAAUUGAUUUCCUGUUUUAACACAGUGAGGUGUGGGUGGGGUAGGUUAAGCUACCAAUCAUAGCAAUACAUUUAGUGGCGCUGCGAGCAGGGUAACUUAAUCUUUGUCCGAUAUGUUUCGGAAAAAGGAGAAAGUUAUCCACGAAUCUGCAGAGGCAUGGGAAAAGAGUUUACAAAAUGCAGAACCAGUGAAUGUAGUACGGACCUUAGAGAAGUUUCCCUGUAAAUCAGGUGAUGUAGUUACCCUAGCUCGUAGGAGUUGGGUGUUGGCUUCAGCAUACCGUAUUGUGCACACACGGCUAUGUGAGGCAAUCGAGGGAAAAAAAACAGCUUCAACGGAAAACGUUGAAAGCAGAAGGAAAGUGUUUAACUUUGGAAUGUAAUGUCAAAAUCUUGCGAGAUAAAUUGGAACACUACCAGCACAUAGCUGAAAAGACUUCUGUGUUGGUGGCUUAGCAUAAAUAUAAAAAGCGUAAGGGAAAAAUAGAUAAACAAAAAGUCAGGAGAUUUAUUGCUAAAGCAUCCGUAGAUUGGGACCCUGAAAAAUGGGAUGGGGACGUAUGGAAAACGUCUUCAUCUGAGGAGGAGGAGUCGGAUGAUUGUCCCGGAGGAUCUCAUUGCCCCGACCCAGAGAUAGAUCCUCCAUAUAAUAAGUCUUUCAAACCAAUUAUGCGACGGAAACAGAAUGUUAUAUAUGGACCUGAUGAAAGAGACAGGGCUGAUGGGGCCGGUCAAGAACCGGUACCCCAUGUACAAUUCAAGGAAACGAUGGAGGAUUUUAGUCAGGCAGAAGUAGAUGAUAUCUUGGCCAGAUUUAGACAAAAGCAAGAAGAAAGUGAUAUGAAGUGGUUGGUCAGGUUACAUGAAACGGGUGCAGAUGGGAUUUCUACUUUAAAAAACAUACAUUUUCUUAAAGUAUAAAUAUAAAUUUUGUUGGCAUUUUGCCAAAGUACUUAGAACUUUGCCAAGAGGCAUAAAAUUUGUUGGCACUGUGCCAAAAAUAUUUGGCGUUUUGCCAAAUUUUUUGGCAGUUUGCCAAAUAACAGAAAAAGAGAAGAAUAAUGUUUGGAAAAAGGGAGAAAUCCAAAAUUGUGAAAAAGAACCCCAAGAUAUACCCGGCUGGACCGAGUCACCUUAUUGUAUAGUGGCACAAGAAUUAUGUACACAUGGGUAAGCAGAACAAUGGGAUGAGAAAGUAGAAGAGAUAAACCCUCUAGAUGUUGUAAAUACUCUAGAGAAGAUUCCCUGUAAAUCAGGUGAUGUAGUAGCACUAGGAAAAAGAGUUCCAUUAAGAUUCUGGAAUAGAAAAUUAUCUGAUGUAGGUGAAAAAUAUACGCCUUUUGAAAAACAGCUAUUGGCAUGUAAUUGGGCAUUGGUUGAUACUGAACAACUAACCUUAGGACAUGAAGUACUUUUAAGACCACAAAUACCAAUUAUGCAGUGGAUAAUGUCUAAUCCUAAAUCAAAUAGGAUAGGACAUGCUCAGGAACAGAGUAUAAUAAAAUGGAAAUGGUACAUUUCCGAAAGGGCAAAAAAGGGAGGAGGACUCAGAAUAGGGAGUUAGCCAAGCCUCCAUAUGGGUGAAACAUGAUUUUCGCCCAUACGUCGAUUUAUCCAUACAUAGGAAGGGGGGGAAUGUUCAAAAAGACAUGUGUACCUUUUUGCAAAAUACUGUUGUAACUGUAUUUCAUGUGGAUGCUCAUGUUACUCUUGACUCAUUGGAACGUUUGUUUAAUUCUCAAGCAGAUGCUGAAGCAGCUAUUUACAACAUCCAACAAAGAAAUCAUUGAAAAAGAAACAUAAUGGUUCUCAUUUCACUGGAAAACAAGUAAAGGAUUAUGCAACUGACAAUAAUAUAGAAUGGGUAUAUCAUAUUCCCUACUAUCCCAAAGCAGCAGGGUUAGUCGAAAGAAUGAAUGGUAUUCUGAAAGCAACCCUAAAGAAAUUAUCAAUAAUAGGCCUAUAACUGAUUCCACUACUCCAUUGAUGAGAAUGUUAAAUCCUAAUUUAGUAGUAUCAGCUGCAAAAAUUGAUAGUAUGAUCUAUUGGAAAUUACAUAAGGAUGCCCAAGCACCUUACCGAGGAACACCAGCAUCGGCUGGACUAGAUUUAUGUUCUGUUGAUACUAUAAUAAUUGCACUUGGACAAUUAAAAAUGAUUCCUACUGGUCUGGAAUGCAAAAUUCCUGAUGGUCAUUAUGGCCAAAUAACAACCAGAUCUAGUUUUGCGCUAAAAAGAACCAUAGUAGUAGGAGGAGUAAUUGAUUCAGAUUAUCAGGGAGAAAUAAAGAUACUAAUGAUGAAUCUAGGAUUAGAUUCAGUAAUUGUGUCCAAAGGAGAAAGAACCGCUCAACUUUUACUGAUACCUAUUUAUUUAUCAGAAAUAAAGGAAGGUGAGCCACCAACAGAAUUAACAGUACGAGGAGAUAAAGGGUUUGGGUCCACUAAUACUGUAAAUGUAGGAGCUAAAAUAUGCGUACAAAAUAUACAAGGACCGCCCUCUCCCACCGAAGUUAUAGCUCUUGGAAAGGAUAGAACAUUGUUAAUCAUGAAGCCUGGACAAGAAAGAUGGGAAUAUGUCCCACAGGAAAAAUGUUAUCUAUGAGAAUGAUUGAUAUUUGUUUAUAAUUACAGAUAAAGAACCAUUGGUCUUUCCUUGGAAUCCUUGGAAUCUGGUGUUUGGCAUCAAACGGAAGCGCAUGGACUCCGGGGAUACGAGUGAUUAAUACCCACAAUUCCGCUCGCAAUUGGGGAUGGAAAAAUGAUACUUCUAAUCGAACAGAAUAUAUGUACCAGUAAAGAAAAAUGGGUAUACAAAACGUAACUGGACAAUAUAAUUGGACUUUUACUGCCAAUAGUAAAUGGAUAAUAUGUGCAAAUGCUACUAACAUUGCUGGAAGAAGAGUACCUUGGCAAUCUUUAUUGCAUGUCUGGAAUAUAGAUUCUGCUACUCAAAACCUCGGACAUAUUAAAAGAUUGACGGCUACCUGUAUACCUGUUGCUACAAUAGGACAAAAAAUUAUAUUGCAUAUUAAUAUUGUAUUUCCUGCCAAGAGAUCAUGUCAUAAUGCGAGACGUAAAAGAGCAUGGUAUGAUACCCUUUUAGGGGGAUAUGGUACAUUGGCAGGAACGUUAAAUAGUUUUGACAUAGAAACUUUAGCUAAUAGAAUGCACAAGGCAGGAGGCUUAACUAAUGAUGCUGUAGUGUGGCAAGCUAAAUGGAUGCCAACUAUUUGGGCCCCAUUACAACAACAAGUUGAAAUUGAUAAAAAUAUCAAUAAUAUGGAAUUGGAAGUUAAUAAUUUCAGUUUGAAUUUUGAUACUAACAUGAAAAAAUUUGUUAACUGGACAGUAUGUACAUUGCAGACUAUUUAUGAACAACAACAAAAAGAUAAUAUGAAAACUUUAUUAAUGACGGGUAAUGAACAAGUAUGGAGAACCGUGUUUAAUAGAACACAAGAAUGGAUACAAAUAUAUCCACAUCAAAUGGUCUGCAAUGACACCAUAUGUAAAGGAACUGUGAUAUUGUUUAAUAUAACACGUCCGACUAUUAUGUGUAAGGAUAUAGUAAUGCCUUUAAUUAUCUCUGGAUAUUUUUGGCAGCCUCUAUUUGUAGGAGCAUAUAUAGAUAACAAAAAUAGAACACACAAUUUAGAAAAUUGUGAAGAUACAUAUAAUGGGAAAGUUUGUAAAUUACAAUCAUCAGUAUAUGAACCAUGUUUAUUACAAAAUUCUAUUAAUCAGUGUUUGUGGACUGUCCUUCCACUAUCUUAUGAAUGGAUGUUAGAAAUCAGUCCACAAGUGAUAUGUGUAGUCACUAAUCAAUCUGUAAUACCUAAAAUGCAGACCCCUUUUGUUGGUUGCAUACACAAUGUUUCAGCAUUUACAUGGCAAAAUCAAACAUUUUUAUUAUCUCCAAAUGAGAUGAUUAAUAUUACCCAUAUUUGGACCCCUCACGUACUAGAUCCACCCAAUUGGAAUUUGUCUUUACAUCGCUUAGAGCGAAUUAUGAAUUCUUCGAACGAAGUACGUGAUGUUAUUGUACGAUUGAAUAACAGUUUGGCAGCUCACCAAUUAUAUACUACCAUAGUAGCUCAAAAAAUUGUAAAGUUAGGUUCAACCAUUGCAGAUGCUACAUCUCACCAUUGGUAUGAUGUUUUCACUGGGUAUAGCCCUUCUGCUGAACACAUGUUCUCUGUCUUGAUUCAUCCCUUGCUCAUCAUCAUGAUAUGUAUGUGUAUUCUAACUAUUUGGAAUUGUUAUGUCUUCUAUGGCAUGUGUUGUAAACCAACAACACAACAAAUUAAAAUGGUAACCUACGGUCGCAUUAAUCAUUAGGGGCCGAAUGUGAUACAAAUGUGAUGUGUGUGUCUAUGACUGACUAAUUGAUAGCCAGAAUAGAAAGGACUGGGGUCAAUACAAUGAAGCAUAGGCAAUAGAUAUAAUGAUUAAGGCUCCUGUAGGUUACUAAAAGGCAAAAGAACAAUUCAUAUAAACAUGUUGUUGCAAGCGUGAAUCAUAGUCAUGAGACUGAUAUUUGCUGCCAAAUUCAAUAGUUCCUGUAGGUUACUAAAAGUCAGACUCGCCUGAUGUUGUUGUGCAACAUCAGGCCCAAUCAGUAAUUGCCUUGUGGGAUCAACCCCACGAAUGAAGUAUAAGGCUUGAGAUUUUCUCAUAAUAUCUAGGGACUUUGCCACUGCUGACGAGCUGUGUGAUGUUGUUAUGGUUUGCUGCCUCCAAAAUGCCGCGUCCCCCGGUUGGAGUGAUGAUAUAAUAUCUAGAUCUGCUGUCCUCACUUACAGAUGGCUUGAAUGUAUAAACCGGGGCAUCAUUUACAAAAAUGGAGGCAGGUGGAAGAAACCUGCCUAUCUACAUUGGGAAUCAGUGGGAGCUACUCACGACAUGGUCCGCCUAUGCCGGCUGCCCUAUGUGUUUCGCUUAUAAUUCAGCUUCAUCAGGGGCAUAACUGAUAGGCGUGUUUGAGAGUUUAAAUAGGCAUCUGCCGGUGUCUUCAGUUGCCGCGAGGUUCUGGGUUCCUCCCCCAACGUCACAUCCGGUCGCAAUGACUCAAACUACUUCCAUGUACCAGAAGUGGACUACUUGCUCCUAAUUGCAUCUGUGCAUGCUCUGCCCAUACUAUAGUAGCCUUAUUAAUUCAUAUGCUACUGUAAUUGGAGUUUUAUUGAUAAUUUAAUGAAUUGUAUCCACAUAAAGAUUAAAAUUAAUUCAUAGUGGCAUCAACAAUUAA